CCCCUCUCAGGGUAGCAACUGGAGAGUUUCCAGUACUCCACUAGUCUCGACUACGGGAGGGAGAGUCAAGCAGAGGCCUACACAUUCCAUUCCUAGCUUGAACAGUGGCUAGCGAGUGGAAGGCCAUCUGCUACCAGU
This 138-nucleotide small nucleolar RNA is filed under the name Ornithorhynchus anatinus (platypus). Lineage: Eukaryota; Metazoa; Chordata; Mammalia; Monotremata; Ornithorhynchidae. The record is from RNAcentral.